GCCAAAAAUCUAGCCCAACAAUUACCCAUGUAACUUAAUUACCAACUUUUAAAAAAUAAAACAUUUUUAAUAUUUAGUAAAGGCGAUUAAAAAAUAUCAAAGAGCAUUAGAAACAGUACCGCAAGGGAAAGAUGAAAUAAAAAUGAAAUAACUUUAAAGCACUAAAAAGCAGAGACUAACCCUCGUACCUUUUGCAUCAUGGUCUAGCUAGUCCAACCAAGCAAAAAGCAAUUUCAGUUUGACCCCCCGAAACUAAGCGAGCUACUUCAAAACAGCCUAACGGGCCAACCCGUCUCUGUUGCAAAAGAGUGGGAAGAUUUUCAAGUAGAGAUGAUAUAUCUACCGAGCUUAGAGAUAGCUGGUUAUUCAGAAUAAGGAUUUAAGUCCUACCUUAAGUCACCAUAUAAUUACUAAUACUCCAAUUGACCUAAGAGCCAUUCAAAUAAGGUACAGCCUAUUUGAAACAGGAUACAACCUAAACCACAGGGUAAUGAAAUAAUAUACCGCGACCAAGUGGGCCUAAGAGCAGCCAUCUUACAAAAAGCGUUAAAGCUUUACCGCUAAUUUUUAUUAAUUCCUUUAACAUUACCAAAACCCUUAAUUAGUACUGAAUGAUUCCAUAACCAUAUGGAAAACCAUAUGCUAGAACUAGUAACAAGAAGAAGCCCUUCUCCAAAAUAUAAGUGUGAGCCGAAAUGAACAAUUCACCGGCACUUACCGCUAAUGAACCACCAGUAGCAACCAAACAAGAAAACCCUACUCUAUUAAGCGUCAACCUUACACUAGAAUAUUACCGGAAAGAUUAAAAGAAAAAGAAGGAACUCGGCAAACUACUAACCCCGCCUGUUUACCAAAAACAUCGCCUCUUGAUUAAAUAUAAGAGGUCCAGCCUGCCCAGUGACAAAGUUAAACGGCCGCGGUACCCUAACCGUGCGAAGGUAGCGCAAUCACUUGUUCUUUAAAUGAGGACUAGUAUGAACGGCAUCACGAAGGUUAUACUGUCUCCUUUCUCUAAUCAGUGAAACUGACCCCCCCGUGAAGAGGCGGGGAUGAAAUUAUAAGACGAGAAGACCCCAUGGAGCUUUAAACUCAGCAUCAAUUGCCUUAGCAUACAAAUCAUUUUAACCAGGCAAACCUGACAGCUAGUUUUCGGUUGGGGUGACCGCGGAGCAAAACAAAACCUCCACGAUGAAUGGACCUUUCCUAAUCAAAGAGCCACUACUCGAAGAAUCAAUAUACUGACAUAAAUUGAUCCAAUUAAUUUUGAUCAACGAACCAAGUUACCCUGGGGAUAACAGCGCAAUCCACUUCAAGAGCCCCUAUCGACAAGUGGGUUUACGACCUCGAUGUUGGAUCAGGGUAUCCUAGUGGUGCAGCCGCUACUAAUGGUUCGUUUGUUCAACGAUUAAAACCCU
This 1415-nucleotide ribosomal RNA is filed under the name Ramanella sp. IND13. Its description in RNAcentral is "partial 16S ribosomal RNA". It matches the Rfam family "Bacterial large subunit ribosomal RNA", at positions 133 to 2597 of the family's 2925-position model. The record is from RNAcentral. Lineage: Eukaryota; Metazoa; Chordata; Amphibia; Anura; Microhylidae.